UAGGGAAUUUUGGGCAAUGGGCGAAAGCCUGACCCAGCAACGCCGCGUGAAGGAUGAAGUAUUUCGGUAUGUAAACUUCGAAAGAAUAGGAAGAAUAAAUGACGGUACUAUUUAUAAGGUCCGGCUAACUACGUGCCAGCAGCCGCGGUAAUACGUAGGGACCAAGCGUUGUUCGGAUUUACUGGGCGUAAAGGGCGCGUAGGCGGCAAUUCAAGUCAUCUGUGAAAUCUCCGGGCUUAACUCGGAACGGUCAGAUGAUACUGCUUUGCUAGAGUGCAGAAGGGGCAAUCGGAAUUCUUGGUGUAGCGGUGAAAUGCGUAGAUAUCAAGAGGAACACCUGAGGUGAAGACGGGUUGCUGGGCUGACACUGACGCUGAGGCGCGAAAGCCAGGGGAGCAAACGGGAUUAGAUACCCGGGUAGUCCCUGAGCGGGCUGGCAAGGCGCAU
RNAcentral lists this ribosomal RNA (447 nucleotides) under uncultured bacterium. RNAcentral's name for it is "bacterial SSU rRNA". It matches the Rfam family "Bacterial small subunit ribosomal RNA", at positions 355 to 825 of the family's 1533-position model. The record is from RNAcentral.